UAGGGAAUAUUGCACAAUGAGCGAAAGCUUGAUGCAGCAACGCCGCGUGCGCGAUGACGGCCUUCGGGUUGUAAAGCGCUUUUCGGGGAGAUGAAGAAGGGCAGUAUCCCCGGAAUAAGUCUCGGCUAACUACGUGCCAGCAGCCGCGGUAACACGUAGGAGGCAAGCGUUAUCCGAAUUUACUGGGCGUAAAGCGCGUGCAGGCGGUUCGGUAAGUUGGAUGUGAAAUCUCCCGGCUCAACUGGGAGGGGACGCUCUAUACUGUCGGACUUGAGGACGAUAGAGGGAGGUGGAAUUCCCGGUGUAGUGGUGAAAUGCGUAGAUAUCGGGAGGAACACCAGUGGCGAAAGCGGCCUCCUGGAUCGUUCCUGACGCUCAGACGCGAAAGCUAGGGGAGCGAACGG
Molecule: ribosomal RNA, 404 nt
Filed under: uncultured bacterium
Lineage: Bacteria
Description: bacterial SSU rRNA
Rfam family: Bacterial small subunit ribosomal RNA
Source: RNAcentral